Molecule: long non-coding RNA, 5985 nt
Organism: Mytilus californianus (California mussel)
Lineage: Eukaryota; Metazoa; Mollusca; Bivalvia; Mytilida; Mytilidae
Exons: 2
Source: RefSeq, a predicted model, not a curated record
CAAUAGCAUAAAUGUCUAUAGUAAAUAUAUGAAUAUUUAUAUAUUGAUGUAUGCCUACUGUGUGGGUUUUAUGCAGGAUUGUUUCAUAGUUAGUCAAGAAAAUCCUAGUACUUAAGCUCAAGCAUAUUGUAUAAACUAAGAUGUUUAUACUCAAUAUAUAUUUUUAUUUUUAAGAUAACUGACAACAUUAUUUGUAUUGAAUAUAAAUGUCGUUUUUCAAUUGCACCUUAAAGAAUAAUAACAUUUCUUUAUUAACGUUUAGUUGAUAUAUCACAUGUUUUAGAUUUUUCUGAUUGAUAUCUGGUUAUAUUCCUAUUUUCAUUUGAAACAAUAGUUUCAUUAAUGUAUCGAAGGGUCUUUUUAAUUAGAAAGAAAUAUAAUACGAUUGGAAAGACAAUGAUUUUUUUUGGGGGGAAAUUAAAAAAAAAUCUAGACUAGUAAAGAUUCCAAAGUAAAACUAUUUUUAUAAUCUUCGUUCAUUUUUUAAAAACAUAAUUGUACAAAGUCAUCAAAAAUUAUUAUAAAUUUAAUGAUAUUCAAUAUGUUUCAAAUUUUGUAAAAUGCCUCAUAAAAAACCUUUUAAUGCGUUAAACGUAAAGUGGAAAAUACCAUAGUGUUUGAAGCGUUUUCCUGAUAAAAAUUGUCACAAGGUACCUAAAAAACCCAAAAUAUAUAAAAACAAUAUCAAAUCCAAACUGUUAACUAUAACAGAAGCAGCAUAAUCAAAAGAUUUCUGAAUAGAAUAACGAAUACAAAUUUUAAUCCACAUUACAGAAAGGAACUUAGAAUACAAGAAAGACAACAAUUUACUUACUAAUAACCGUGGUCAGUAUGCAAUGGCUACUUGCUUUUUUUUUAUAACAAACAAUACCAUGUAACACUACGAAAUAUAUGUAAAUUACCCAUAUGAAUUAUUUUAUACACCAUUUUGAAAACGUCUGUCGUUAUUUGGGUCAGAUAAAUGUCAAGUAUGUAUAUCAAAGAAAACGAGGAGACAGUUUUGAUAGCUUUUGUCGUGAAGGUUUGCAUAUUGUACAUGUAAACCUGCAUUCUUCAAUCCAUUACACUAACUUGUAGAUUUGUCCGCAGUUGCAUCUAUUGCAAAACGAGAUCAAAACAUGUGGUCACUCAAGAGCACUAGAAAAAUGACAUUUACUUUGUUGUACAAUUUAUCACUACCAGUACAUUAUCCUUCAGAGACAUACAAUACAAAGAAAAGCAGUAUAUGUUUACAUAUAACCAUAUGACCUUUUGACCACUAUUAGUUGACCAUGCAACUGACCUGUGGCCUAGGUUGUUAACCUUUGGUUUAAUGUUACAAAUAUUUUAUCAUGGUUAGGUAAAAUAAACUAGUAAGGAUGCAAGACUGACAUUACCAAAAUAAAAUACAUUAUUUCCGAAAUUUAUUUAGUUUUGAUAUGAUUUGCCUUUAUCAAAAUGUGCAUUUCGUCAUUUAAGAAUAUAUUUUGGUUACAAAAACAAGUUAAGAAAACUUUUAUUUGUAUCCUGGAUGAAUAUGUAUUCUCCAAAAAAAUGCAUAAAGACAGAUAUCGAUAUAUUAAAAAAAAUGUUUUAGUUAUUUUCAUUAGAUUAGAAACAAAUAGCUUACCUUCAAACUAUUCUUACAAAUUGAAGAACCCCAAAAGCUUUAUGUUGUUUAUAUCAUAUUGCGGAAAUUUUAACUGAAACUUCCACUAUAGGGAUAUGAUGGUAAAUGUAUAUCUAAUAUAGGUAAUCAUUGAAAAUUUCCCUGGGUAUAUUUAAUAGUGCGGGAUUUCCCUAUAGUUUUAUUUUUAUAUCCCACUCAAUACCGUUUUUACACAUAACCAAGCAGAGAUCUAUUUCUUGGCGGAAAUAUUCUUCUGGAAGAAGGAAGGAAGUGUAGGUAGGAAUACCAUUUUUAAAUCUUAAAAUAUGAGCUUUAAAAGAUAAAACGUGCUUGUUGAUACCUUCUGUUGCUAAAACAAUGUAAUAUAAUUAAUUAUCAAAUUGUUAUACACCGUGUAUAUAAUACUGAGACAAAGCAUAAAUGUGAACAUUUAAUUCGGUCACAUAAUUUAAGUACAAAGCCUAAAACGGUAAAUGGAGUAAAUGGAGACAAACAAAUCUAUUUUUUGUAACACAAUGACAUAAACAAUAUGUGCUUAGCUCGAGGUUUAGCUUUCUUUUACAUUCAUUACACCCAAUAUAAAUAAUGGUAUACAUUUUUAUAUUGCAAAAAAAAUCAGUUAAGGGGGUACUGGAGUUUACUGGAGAAAUACACUUCUUUUUUUAUUAUGACCGUUGCAUGAAAAACAGUGUUUGACAAAUUUAGGCAACAGUAGUUCACUGAUUUUUCUUUCUCAUGAAUCAUGUAAGAAAAUACAAAUCAAGUUAACAAUAAAAAAUGAUCAUGAGAGAAAUCGCAUGAAUUCCAUAUGAAGAGAGACCGGGUGCAUCGACAGAGGAAGCGGCUUCUGAUGCACCAUCUAUGCAAAUCCACACUCAAUCAACGUCGACAGGGGAAGCGGCUUUUAAUGCACCAUCUAUGUGAAUCCACACUCAGUCAACGUCGACAGAGGAAGCGGCUUCUGAUGCACCAUCUAUGUGAAUCCACACUCAGUCAACGUCGACAGGGGAAGCGGUUUCUGGUGCACCAUCUAUGUGAAUCCACACUCAGUCAACGUCGACAGGGGAAGCGGCUUCUGUUGCACCAUCUAUGUGAAUCCACACUCAGUCAACGUCAACAGGGGAAGCGGCUUCUGUUGCACCAUCUAUGUGAAUCCACACUCAGUCAACGUCGACAGGGGAAGCGGCUUCUAAUGCACCAUAUAUGUGAAUCCACACUCAGUCAACGUCGAUAGGGGAAGCGGCUUCUGGUGCACCAUCUAUGUGAAUCCACACUUAGUCAAAAUAUCACAAAUUGGAAUAGGACACAAUCAGUAAAAUAAACAGAGCAGACGACUAAAUAUCUAAGAUGGACAAGUAAAAGUACAUGUUAGUGAGACCUUACAGUUUGGGAUUUGUAAAAUAAUAAGUUGAAAUCUUGAUAUUUACGCAGAUGAUAUUCGGUGAUUUCGAUGGAAUUACUAAUUGGGCAUUGUUGAACUAAUUUUGAGUAUGCUUUUUUGGGUUCUGUAAAUAGGUGGUAUCAUUAAGGUGAGUGAAAUCGAUGCUAUUUGGAUGGUUCUGUUGAAUUAGUCGUUGGACAUUUUUUACUAGUGUUUUGUAUGAUAUGUGAAAAACAAUGUUGAGAGACAUUUGCAAGAAUUUGAAGUGUCCUGUAUAAUAUGUGAAAGAGCUUUGUGUAGUUCCACUGCCAAUGAUUGGAAUAUUUUAAAUAAUUUGGUGGAGGAACAUUGCUAGGGGACACUAGCAAGGAUUAGAAGUGUUCUGUAAAUAUGUGGAAGAGAUGAUUUGAGUUACACAGGCAAUGGUUGGAAGUGUAAUGCUUAUGUAUAAUAAUUAGUGAGGAAAAGCAUUGUUAAGUGACACUAGCAAGGAUUGGAAGUUUGCGUUGGAAUAUGUGGAUGAGCUUUGUUGCUUGACACCGGCAAUGAUCGUUAAAAUCAUUUUUCAGAGAGCAUUGUUAAUUACACGGGCAAUGAUAGUAAGUUUUCUGUUAAAUAUGUAUAAGAACAUUGCUGAGUAACACUGGUAGGGAUUAAAAGGGUUCUGCAUGAUAUGUGGGAGAGCAUGGUUAAUGACACUGACAAUGAUCACAAAUGCUCUUUUAAAAUGACAGAUAAUGGUGAGUGACACUGGCCAAAAGAGGCGAAAGAACCAAAGGGACAUUAAAACUCACAAGACGAAAAUAAACUGAAAACGCCAUGGCAAAAAAAGAAAGAGACAAAAAGACAAACAACAGUUCACAAAACACAACAUCGAAACUAAAGACUGAAGAACACAACAUAGCAAGGAUUCUGAUUUGAAAAAGGCUAUGUAUGAUAUGUGGGAGAGCAUCGUAAAUGACACUGACAAUGAUUGGAUAUGUUCUUUUAAAACGACGGAGAAAAUUGUUGAGUGACACUAUCAAGAAUCAAAAGGGUUAUGCAUAGAAUGUGGGGGAGCAUUGUUUAUGACACUAACAAGAAUCAAAAAGCUUCUGCAUGAUAUGUGAGAAGGCAUUGUUGAGUGACAAUAACAAGAGAAUCAAAGGAGUUCUGCACGAACAUGGGAGAGUAUUGUUGAGUUGCACUAACAAGUGAGAGCAUUGUUGAGUGACACUAACAAGUGAGAGCAUUGUUGAGUGACAAUAACAAGUGAGAGCAUUGUUGAGUGACAAUAACAAGAGAAUCAAAGGAGUUCUGCACGAACAUGGGAGAGUAUUGUUGAGUUGCACUAACAAGAGAGAGCAUUUAGUGACACUUACAAGAAUCAAACGGGUUCUGUAUGAUAUGUCGGAGACCAUUGUUGAGUGAUACUAACAAGGAUCAAAGGGGUUCUGCAUAAUAUGUCGGAGACCAUUGUUGAGUGAUACUAACAAGGAUCAAAGGGGUUCUGCAUAAAAUGUCGGAGACCAUUGUUGAGUGAUACUAACAAGGAUCAAAGGGGUUCUGCAUAAUAUGUGGGAGACCAUUGUUGAGUGAUACUAACAAGAAUCAAAGGGGUUCUGUAUAGUAUGUGGGAGAGGAUUGUUUAUGACACUGGUUUUCACACUGAUCAUUAUGUAAUGUUUGGCAGAAGCAGCUAACGAUAAAAACCGUUCUGUUUGGUUUGAUUUUAGGUUGAUCACCAUUGUUAACCAAAACAUACACCGAUAUGCAAGAGACAAAAUUAUAGUGUUAAGUAUUUUCUUUCUAUAUUUAACGAUAAUAAGUUUAUCUUUUAAAAAAAGAACAUUUAAGUAUUGUGUGUGAAAGACAUUUUGCCUAGACGUCAGCAUUAUCAUAAAAUCAAAAUUCAAACAUAGUUUAAAUUCUCUUUGCUACUCGUAUUAAUAUUUUGUUAAAUGACUUUUCUUAAAAAGGUAUAACUAACGUUUGAAAGUAAGCGAUUCAAAGAUUUAAAUAUGUGCACUCGCAUAUCUUAGAUGCGUGUAAAGCUAUGUGUUACUAUUAAGAAAGCCGUCAGCAACACGAGUUAUGAAUGCAUUGCACAAUGGUCAAUAUUUUUGUAAGAAAAUGAAUUUGAAAAGAAGGAAAUAUAAAGCACAUAUACGUUUUUCUGCUACUAUGAUAACUGAAUGUGUAAUAAAAUCAGACUAUGACAUUCAGUUGCAACUUGAAACAAUGAUAGUUUAGAUCACGGUAACACGUACGAAGAGUUAAUUAACUAUUAACAAUUCAGAUUACUUAAAUGUUUGAACAAGAAAGAUAAGUUCAAUGACGUAGAAAUGAAAUUCGUGAUAUAAAUCCUUAAACACUUUUUUCAGUGUCUGCAUGUUAAUUUAUAAUAACCAAAUAUAAAACAGAAUUUUAUUUACACAUGAUAAAAUCUUUACAUGAAGUUGACAAAGGACGGUUUAAAAACUAGGUCAAGAGAUAUGUUAUCUGAACAGAUUUGUAUAGAAAAUCUCAAAAUAGACAAGUAUUUAUUUGAGACGUACAACAACUUUAAAUAUAGUAGUAUAUAAAUAUGAUAAACUUUUACGAUCACAGUAAGACUAAAUAAAAACGAGACUGGAUGUCUGUACGCUCGCCAUGUAGGAGCAAUUUUUCCAAACGUAAAUUUUUAAGAUUAUUUGUGGUCAAAGAUGGACAUAUGUAUCCUGUUAUAUGUUAAAUGCAGUAACAUCAGAGUACUAAUGGGAUGUGUUGCCACUAUUUCGCAAAAUACCGAGUGAAAGUAGAAAAUUGAAAAUCAAUAAAAUCUUUUUUUUGGCAAGGAAACACACACAAAAUAGAAGAUAGAACUAUGAUUAUAAUAUUGAGAGAAAAACCAAUUAAAUUUGUGAAGCAUUUCUUUUCUUCAUUAUAAAUAUAUUGCAUUGAUAAACACCUCUUUCAGUAUUACAGACUCUCAUUUGCAAAGAGAGACAAAAGAGAAAAAUACCCCCCCCCCCCC